Molecule: ribosomal RNA, 2428 nt
Filed under: Escherichia coli
Lineage: Bacteria; Pseudomonadati; Pseudomonadota; Gammaproteobacteria; Enterobacterales; Enterobacteriaceae
Description: partial 23S ribosomal RNA
Rfam family: Bacterial large subunit ribosomal RNA
Source: RNAcentral
UGUGUGUUAGUGGAAGCGUCUGGAAAGGCGCGCGAUACAGGGUGACAGCCCCGUACACAAAAAUGCACAUGCUGUGAGCUCGAUGAGUAGGGCGGGACACGUGGUAUCCUGUCUGAAUAUGGGGGGACCAUCCUCCAAGGCUAAAUACUCCUGACUGACCGAUAGUGAACCAGUACCGUGAGGGAAAGGCGAAAAGAACCCCGGCGAGGGGAGUGAAAAAGAACCUGAAACCGUGUACGUACAAGCAGUGGGAGCACGCUUCGGCGUGUGACUGCGUACCUUUUGUAUAAUGGGUCAGCGACUUAUAUUCUGUAGCAAGGUUAACCGAAUAGGGGAGCCGAAGGGAAACCGAGUCUUAACUGGGCGUUAAGUUGCAGGGUAUAGACCCGAAACCCGGUGAUCUAGCCAUGGGCAGGUUGAAGGUUGGGUAACACUAACUGGAGGACCGAACCGACUAAUGUUGAAAAAUUAGCGGAUGACUUGUGGCUGGGGGUGAAAGGCCAAUCAAACCGGGAGAUAGCUGGUUCUCCCCGAAAGCUAUUUAGGUAGCGCCUCGUGAAUUCAUCUCCGGGGGUAGAGCACUGUUUCGGCAAGGGGGUCAUCCCGACUUACCAACCCGAUGCAAACUGCGAAUACCGGAGAAUGUUAUCACGGGAGACACACGGCGGGUGCUAACGUCCGUCGUGAAGAGGGAAACAACCCAGACCGCCAGCUAAGGUCCCAAAGUCAUGGUUAAGUGGGAAACGAUGUGGGAAGGCCCAGACAGCCAGGAUGUUGGCUUAGAAGCAGCCAUCAUUUAAAGAAAGCGUAAUAGCUCACUGGUCGAGUCGGCCUGCGCGGAAGAUGUAACGGGGCUAAACCAUGCACCGAAGCUGCGGCAGCGACGCUGAUGCGUUGUUGGGUAGGGGAGCGUUCUGUAAGCCUGUGAAGGUGUGCUGUGAGGCAUGCUGGAGGUAUCAGAAGUGCGAAUGCUGACAUAAGUAACGAUAAAGCGGGUGAAAAGCCCGCUCGCCGGAAGACCAAGGGUUCCUGUCCAACGUUAAUCGGGGCAGGGUGAGUCGACCCCUAAGGCGAGGCCGAAAGGCGUAGUCGAUGGGAAACAGGUUAAUAUUCCUGUACUUGGUGUUACUGCGAAGGGGGGACGAAGAAGGCUAUGUUGGCCGGGCGACGGUUGUCCCGGUUUAAGCGUGUAGGCUGGUUUUCCAGGCAAAUCCGGAAAAUCAAGGCUGAGGCGUGAUGACGAGGCACUACGGUGCUGAAGCAACAAAUGCCCUGCUUCCAGGAAAAGCCUCUAAGCAUCAGGUAACAUCAAAUCGUACCCCAAACCGACACAGGUGGUCAGGUAGAGAAUACCAAGGCGCUUGAGAGAACUCGGGUGAAGGAACUAGGCAAAAUGGUGCCGUAACUUCGGGAGAAGGCACGCUGAUAUGUAGGUGAAGUCCCUUGCGGAUGGAGCUGAAAUCAGUCGAAGAUACCAGCUGGCUGCAACUGUUUAUUAAAAACACAGCACUGUGCAAACACGAAAGUGGACGUAUACGGUGUGACGCCUGCCCGGUGCCGGAAGGUUAAUUGAUGGGGUUAGCGGUAACGCGAAGCUCUUGAUCGAAGCCCCGGUAAACGGCGGCCGUAACUAUAACGGUCCUAAGGUAGCGAAAUUCCUUGUCGGGUAAGUUCCGACCUGCACGAAUGGCGUAAUGAUGGCCAGGCUGUCUCCACCCGAGACUCAGUGAAAUUGAACUCGCUGUGAAGAUGCAGUGUACCCGCGGCAAGACGGAAAGACCCCGUGAACCUUUACUAUAGCUUGACACUGAACAUUGAGCCUUGAUGUGUAGGAUAGGUGGGAGGCUUUGAAGUGUGGACGCCAGUCUGCAUGGAGCCGACCUUGAAAUACCACCCUUUAAUGUUUGAUGUUCUAACGUUGACCCGUAAUCCGGGUUGCGGACAGUGUCUGGUGGGUAGUUUGACUGGGGCGGUCUCCUCCUAAAGAGUAACGGAGGAGCACGAAGGUUGGCUAAUCCUGGUCGGACAUCAGGAGGUUAGUGCAAUGGCAUAAGCCAGCUUGACUGCGAGCGUGACGGCGCGAGCAGGUGCGAAAGCAGGUCAUAGUGAUCCGGUGGUUCUGAAUGGAAGGGCCAUCGCUCAACGGAUAAAAGGUACUCCGGGGAUAACAGGCUGAUACCGCCCAAGAGUUCAUAUCGACGGCGGUGUUUGGCACCUCGAUGUCGGCUCAUCACAUCCUGGGGCUGAAGUAGGUCCCAAGGGUAUGGCUGUUCGCCAUUUAAAGUGGUACGCGAGCUGGGUUUAGAACGUCGUGAGACAGUUCGGUCCCUAUCUGCCGUGGGCGCUGGAGAAUUGAGGGGGGCUGCUCCUAGUACGAGAGGACCGGAGUGGACGCAUCACUGGUGUUCGGGUUGUCAUGCCAAUGGCA